GGGGUCAUAGCUCAGUUGGUAGAGCGCUUGAAUGGCAUUCAAGAGGUCCGGGGUUCGACUCCCCGUGGCUCCA
RNAcentral lists this transfer RNA (73 nucleotides) under Deltaproteobacteria bacterium. RNAcentral's name for it is "tRNA-Ala". It matches the Rfam family "tRNA". From Rfam's summary of the family: Transfer RNA (tRNA) molecules are approximately 80 nucleotides in length. Their secondary structure includes four short double-helical elements and three loops (D, anti-codon, and T loops). Further hydrogen bonds mediate the characteristic L-shaped molecular structure. tRNAs have two regions of fundamental functional importance: the anti-codon, which is responsible for specific mRNA codon recognition, and the 3' end, to which the tRNAs corresponding amino acid is attached (by aminoacyl-tRNA synthetases). tRNAs cope with the degeneracy of the genetic code in two manners: having more than one tRNA (with a specific anti-codon) for a particular amino acid; and 'wobble' base-pairing, i.e. permitting non-standard base-pairing at the 3rd anti-codon position. Lineage: Bacteria; Pseudomonadati; Myxococcota; Myxococcia. The record is from RNAcentral.